AUUGAACGCUGGCGGCAUGCCUUACACAUGCAAGUCGAACGGCAGCACGGGAGCUUGCUCCUGGUGGCGAGUGGCGAACGGGUGAGUAAUAUAUCGGAACGUACCCUAGAGUGGGGAUAACGCAGCGAAAGUUGCGCUAAUACCGCAUACGAUCUACGGAUGAAAGUGGGGGAUCGCAAGACCUCAUGCUCAUGGAGCGGCCGAUAUCUGAUUAGCUAGUUGGUGGGGUAAAGGCCUACCAAGGCAUCGAUCAGUAGCUGGUCUGAGAGGACGACCAGCCACACUGGAACUGAGACACGGUCCAGACUCCUACGGGAGGCAGCAGUGGGGAAUUUUGGACAAUGGGCGCAAGCCUGAUCCAGCAAUGCCGCGUGCAGAUGAAGGCCUCGGUUGG
This 394-nucleotide ribosomal RNA is filed under the name uncultured bacterium. RNAcentral's name for it is "bacterial SSU rRNA". It matches the Rfam family "Bacterial small subunit ribosomal RNA", at positions 30 to 426 of the family's 1533-position model. The record is from RNAcentral.